GACGAACGCUGGCGGCGUGCUUAACACAUGCGAGUCGAACGGAAAGGCCUGCUUUCCCUUGUGGAUUGCGGGUACUCGAGUGGCGAACGGGUGAGUAACACGUGAGUGAUCUGCCCCCAACUUGGGUAUAAGCCUGGGAAACUGGGUCUAAUUCCCGAUAGGACUGCAGGGUGGUGCCUGUGGUGGAAAACGAUUUUCUAGUGGUUGGGGAUGAGCUCGCGGCCUAUCAGCUUGUUGGUGGGGUAAUGGCCUACCAAGGCGGCGACGGGUAGCCGGCCUGGGAGGGUGGACGGCCACAUUGGGACUGAGAUACGGCCCAGACUCCUACGGGAGGCAGCAGUGGGGAAUAUUGCACAAUGGGCGGAAGCCUGAUGCAGCGACGCCGCGUGGGGGAUGACGGCCUUCGGGUUGUAAACUCCUUUCGACCGCGAGGAAGCCACCUGGUUGGAAGGGUGGUGACGGUAGUGGUAGAAGAAGCACCGGCUAACUACGUG
RNAcentral lists this ribosomal RNA (494 nucleotides) under uncultured bacterium. RNAcentral describes it as "partial 16S ribosomal RNA". It matches the Rfam family "Bacterial small subunit ribosomal RNA", at positions 28 to 507 of the family's 1533-position model. The record is from RNAcentral.